AAGGUGGAUUGACUGGUAAAGUGAAGGUGGAUUGACUGGUAAAGUGAAGGUGGAUGGACUAUGGUAAAGUGAAGGUGAUUUGGCUAUGGUAAAGUGAAGGUGGAUUGGCUAUGGUAAAGUGAAGGUGGAUUGGCUAUAGUAAAGUGAAGGUGGAUUGGCUAUGGUAAAGUGAAGGUGAUUGACUGGUAAAGUGAAGGUGGAUGGACUAUGGUAAAGUGAAGGUGAUUUGGCUUUGGUAAAGUGAAGGUGGAUUGGCUAUGGUAAAGUGAAGGUGGAUUGGCUAUAGUAAAGUGAAGGUGGAUUGGCUAUGGUAAAGUGAAGGUGGAUGGACUAUGGUAAAGUGAAGGUGGAUUGGCUAUAGUAAAGUGAAGGUGGAUUGGCUAUGGUAAAGUGAAGGUGGAUGGACUAUGAUAAAGUGAAGGUGAAUUGACAAUGGUAAAGUGAAGGUGGAUUGGCUAUGGUGAAGGUGGAUUGGCUAUGGUAAAGUGAAGGUGGAUGGACUAUGGUAAAGUGAAGGUGGAUUGACAAUGAUAAAGUGAAGGUGGAUUGGCUAUGGUAAAGUGAAAGUGGAUUGGCUAUGGUAAAGUGA
Long non-coding RNA from Mizuhopecten yessoensis (Yesso scallop), 589 nucleotides. RefSeq lists it as uncharacterized. NCBI's taxonomy places the organism in Eukaryota, Metazoa, Mollusca, Bivalvia, Pectinida, Pectinidae. The transcript has 3 exons. The record is from RefSeq and is a predicted model, not a curated record.